RNAcentral lists this ribosomal RNA (425 nucleotides) under uncultured bacterium. RNAcentral describes it as "partial 16S ribosomal RNA". It matches the Rfam family "Bacterial small subunit ribosomal RNA", at positions 354 to 796 of the family's 1533-position model. The record is from RNAcentral.
GUUAGGAAUAUUGGACAAUGGGCGCAAGCCUGAUCCAGCCAUGCCGCGUGAACGAUGAAGGCCUUCGGGUUGUAAAGUUCUUUAGCCGAUGAUUAUAAUGACUGUAGUCGGAAAAUAAGCCCCGGCUAACUUCGUGCCAGCAGCCGCGGUAAUACGAAGGGGGCGAGCGUUAUUCGGAAUCACUGGGCGUAAAGCGUGCGUAGGCGGUCUCGUAAGUUAGGAGUGAAAGCCCAGGGCUCAACAUUGGAAUUGCUCUUAAUACUGCAAGGCUAGAAUCUCGGAGAGGAUAGCGGAAUUUCCAGUGUAGCAGUGAAAUGCGUAGAUAUUGGAAGGAACACCAGUGGCGUAAGCGGCUAUCUGGACGAGUAUUGACGCUGAGGCACUAAAGCGUGGGGAUCAAACAGGAUUAGAUACCCUGGUAGUCC